CCCUUCUCUUCUGGGAGGCAGCAGUAGGGAAUGUUCCGCAUAUGGCCGAAAGUCUGACGGAGCAACGCCGCGUGAGUGAUGAAGGCUUACGGAGUCGUAAAACUCUGUAAUUAGGGAAGAACGAAGUACUAGAUGAAUAAGCUGGCACCUGACGGUACUCACCAGAAGCACGCUAAUGCAGAAAACCCCCGCCUUUCCC
Molecule: ribosomal RNA, 199 nt
Filed under: uncultured bacterium
Lineage: Bacteria
Description: partial 16S ribosomal RNA
Rfam family: Bacterial small subunit ribosomal RNA
Source: RNAcentral